CUUUUACCAAAAAGAUAACGUUGUAAUAAACAAUGAUUUAACUGACGCUUAUCUCGCGUUAGAUAUUCCGAAAUGGCGGAGACUAAAGAUAUAAAUGUCGCAGUAAAGUAGUUAAAUCGCAGAAAGUUAAUUGAAAAUCUAGACAGUUUAUUAAAGAUCGAUAUUUAAUCAGGUCGUUAGCAUUUUAAUUUAAAUAAAGCAGCGUCGAAAACGUUUAACUAUCUGUCUGACCGAAAGCCAGCGUUUUGAUUAAUAAUGUAAAACAAGAUGGCGGUCACGACAACAGCUGAUUACUUUUAGAGUCUUUCUGUUGGCAAACGUUGUGCAACGUUGGUAUGUUGUUGUGAUCGUGAAGAACUGAGAGCUUGGAAAUUCCGUGUUUUGUUUUAUUGUAAAUGGCUAGGUUAGGUUAGUAAUAAUGCUUAAAAUGCCAUUAAUAAAGGUAAAACAAACCAAAAAAAUUACCAAAUAUCUGCAGCAGAGCAGGUUUUAUUUUUUCUAAUUAAAGAAACAUAAAACAAAA
Pieris napi is the source of this 523-nucleotide long non-coding RNA. RefSeq lists it as uncharacterized. NCBI's taxonomy places the organism in Eukaryota, Metazoa, Arthropoda, Insecta, Lepidoptera, Pieridae. The transcript is spliced from 2 exons. The record is from RefSeq and is a predicted model, not a curated record.